This 200-nucleotide ribosomal RNA is filed under the name uncultured bacterium. RNAcentral describes it as "partial 16S ribosomal RNA". It matches the Rfam family "Bacterial small subunit ribosomal RNA", at positions 29 to 256 of the family's 1533-position model. The record is from RNAcentral.
AAUGAACACUGGCGGCAUGCCUAACACAUGCAAGUCGAACGAAGGCUUCGGCCUUAGUGGCGCACGGGUGCGUAACGCGUGGGAAUCUGCCCUUGGGUUCGGAAUAACAGCUAGAAAUGGCUGCUAAUACCGGAUGAUGACGUAAGUCCAAAGAUUUAUCGCCCAGGGAUGAGCCCGCGUAGGAUUAGCUAGUUGGUGAG